This 76-nucleotide transfer RNA is filed under the name Lachnospiraceae bacterium. Its description in RNAcentral is "tRNA-Arg". It matches the Rfam family "tRNA". Rfam says of the family: Transfer RNA (tRNA) molecules are approximately 80 nucleotides in length. Their secondary structure includes four short double-helical elements and three loops (D, anti-codon, and T loops). The record is from RNAcentral. Lineage: Bacteria; Bacillati; Bacillota; Clostridia; Lachnospirales; Lachnospiraceae.
UGUGUUCGUAGCUCAGUUGGAUAGAGCAACGGCCUUCUAAGCCGUGGGUCGGGGGUUCGAAUCCCUUCGAGCACGU